This 403-nucleotide ribosomal RNA is filed under the name uncultured bacterium. RNAcentral's name for it is "partial 16S ribosomal RNA". It matches the Rfam family "Bacterial small subunit ribosomal RNA", at positions 30 to 526 of the family's 1533-position model. The record is from RNAcentral.
AUUGAACGCUGGCGGCAGGCCUAACACAUGCCAGUCGGGCUCGCGGCGGACGGGUGAGUAAUGUAUGGGGACUGCCUGAUGGAGGGGGAUAACUCCUGGAAACGGUCGCUAAUACCGCAUACCCUCAGAUAACCCAUAUGGGAGUAGCUUGUAGGUGAUGUAACGGCUCACCUAGGCGACGAUCCCUAGCUGGUCUUAGAGGAUGCUCCGCCAAACUGGGACGGAGACACGGCCCAGACUCCUACGGAGUCAGCAGUGGUGAAUAUUGCGCAAUGGGGGCAACCCUGACGCAGCCAUGCCGCGUGAAUGAAGAAGGCCUUAGGGUUUUAAAGUUCUUUCGGUAGCGAGGCGUUAACUACAGAAGAAGCACCGGCUAACUCCGUGCCAGCAGCCGCGGUAAUUC